Molecule: unclassified non-coding RNA, 253 nt
Filed under: uncultured Halomonadaceae bacterium
Lineage: Bacteria; Pseudomonadati; Pseudomonadota; Gammaproteobacteria; Oceanospirillales; Halomonadaceae
Description: contains 16S-23S intergenic spacer region
Rfam family: Bacterial small subunit ribosomal RNA
Source: RNAcentral
UACGGUGGGUGCAAGCGUUAACCGGAAUUACUGGGCGUAAAGCGCGCGUAGGUGGCUUGAUAAGCCUGCUGUGAAGGCCCCGGGCUCAACCUGGGAACGGCAUCCGGAACUGUCAAGCUAGAGUGCAGGAGAGGAAGGUAGAAUUCCCGGUGUAGCGGUGAAAUGCGUAGAGAUCGGGAGGAAUACCAGUGGCGAAGGCGGCCUUCUGGACUGACACUGACACUGAGGGGCGAAGGCGUAGGGAGCAAACAGG